RNAcentral lists this ribosomal RNA (806 nucleotides) under uncultured bacterium. RNAcentral's name for it is "bacterial SSU rRNA". It matches the Rfam family "Bacterial small subunit ribosomal RNA", at positions 62 to 875 of the family's 1533-position model. The record is from RNAcentral.
UCGAGCGAGAGGGAGUAGCAAUACUCUAGUAAAGCGGCGCACGGGUGAGUAACACGUGGGUAAUCUGCCUCGAAGUGGGGAAUAACACCGGGAAACCGGUGCUAAUACCGCAUAAUCUGACGGAGUCUGCGGAUUUUGUCAGCAAAGGAGCAAUUCGCUUUGAGAGGAGCCCGCGGCUGAUUAGCUAGUUGGUGAGGUAAUGGCUCACCAAGGCUACGAUCAGUAGCCGGUCUGAGAGGACGGUCGGCCACACUGGAACUGAGACACGGUCCAGACUCCUACGGGAGGCAGCAGUGGGGAAUUUUUCGCAAUGGGGGCAACCCUGACGAAGCAACGCCGCGUGGAUGAUGAAGUCUCUUGGGACGUAAAAUCCUUUCGACGGGGACGAAACCGCAAGGUUGACGGUACCCGUAGAAGAAGCCCCGGCUAACUCCGUGCCAGCAGCCGCGGUAAUACGGGGGGGGCAAGCGUUGUUCGGAAUUACUGGGCGUAAAGGGCGCGUAGGCGGCUCACUAAGUCGGAUGUGAAAACUCUGGGCUCAACCCAGAGCCUGCAUCCGAAACUGGUGGGCUAGGGUGCUGGAGGGGAUAGCGGAAUUCCUGGUGUAGCGGUGAAAUGCGUAGAUAUCAGGAGGAACACCGGUGGCGAAGGCGGCUAUCUGGACAGUAACCGACGCUGAGGCGCGAAAGCUAGGGGAGCAAACAGGAUUAGAUACCCUGGUAGUCCUAGCCCUAAACGAUGGAUACUUGCUGUGAGGGGGAUUGAAUCCCUUCGUGGCGAAGCUAACGCAUUAAGUAUCCCGCCUG